UAUUGAGAGAUGGCGCCACGCACUGGCUCGCGCUUCGCUGCAGUUUCUGACCUGCGAGUUUAUUAUACUUACGAGUUAUCGCUUGGGCCGGAAAACAGGAAUCGAGGAAUGGCUGGCAUUUAGCCUAUGUUCUGCAUUGACAGUGAAGAUGGCAAUACGCGCAUAAGCUGAGAAAGGAUUUUGACAUUCAUUAUGCUACUAUUACUUAUCAAAAGUGUACUCACUGUUACUAUACUCAAAAAAGAUUUUUGCUGGAAAAGUAAGCGUAAAAUUGGCACAUCGGCAUAAGCAUCAGUAAUAUAAACAAAAAAGUAAAGGAUUUAGAAAACAUCCAUCAGCAUGGAGCAGUGAGUUCUUUUCCUAAUCGAGAAAUAGCAAGUUGGGCCGUCAGAGAAAUAAUUAUAAAUCAAGAAAAGUUGAUAAAAGAUUGGUUUCAUCAAGCUAAAGUUGGAACAAUAAAAACGUUUUAUUUUAAUUGCAACAGGAUAAUUGGAUACGGACAAGUUAUUGAUGAAGGUAGCAAGCUCGAGUACUGGAGCAUGAUUUGUCUACGUCUAAAGAAGUCCGAAAGAUCGAAUUCUCCCAUGAUUUUGAAUGCAUAUCCAUGCAAAAAUGAUUCGAAGCAUUACCUUCUUAUUAAGGACUUUCCAUUGAGUUCUCAGAAGGAGGAUUUGGGUAAUGUUAAACGAGAGUUCAGUAAGAUUAGAGGUAUCAACUUGAGUAAAAUUUCGAUAAAAAGAUUUGAUAAAUGUACGAAGGCAAAUAGUCCACUAAUUGUUAAAGUUAGAUUCGGCUCUAUUAAAGAUGCCGAACAAGUUCUAAAUAACAAGCAUCUUCUAAAAGAUAUUAAAGUAGAGAAAUAUUAUCUAAAUGGAUUACAAUCUACUAGAAAUAACUAAGACAGUAAAGCUAAUAGAAAACGGAAAAAGUUAAGUGAGAAAUGUAAGGAUCUCCAUAUUCUCUUCUGCAAGAAAUACAAACAUUUAUUUCAAUAUAUUGCUGGCAAGGAACAUAGUAACAAUCGAAGCUCGAAUCUCAAGAGAGUUUUAAAUCGACAGUGCCAGUCAAAAAUGUUACAUUUUAUCCUGUGCAAUUUCCGUUUGUUUUCUAGCUAUUCAAUGUUAAAUAAGCUGUAUUGAUAAACCAAGCGAUAAUAACAUUUAAAAAUAAAGAAAAUUAAUAAUAAA
RNAcentral lists this long non-coding RNA (1187 nucleotides) under Nasonia vitripennis (jewel wasp). Its description in RNAcentral is "uncharacterized LOC116417776, transcript variant X1". Lineage: Eukaryota; Metazoa; Arthropoda; Insecta; Hymenoptera; Pteromalidae. The record is from RNAcentral.